This 445-nucleotide ribosomal RNA is filed under the name uncultured bacterium. RNAcentral's name for it is "partial 16S ribosomal RNA". It matches the Rfam family "Bacterial small subunit ribosomal RNA", at positions 354 to 796 of the family's 1533-position model. The record is from RNAcentral.
GUGAGGAAUAUUGGGCAAUGGGCGCAAGCCUGAUCCAGCCAUGCCGCGUGCAGGAAGACGCAUCUAUGGUGUGUAAACUGCUUUUGUACGGGAAGAAACACUCCCUCGUGAGGGAGCUUGACGGUACCGUAAGAAUAAGGAUCGGCUAACUCCGUGCCAGCAGCCGCGGUAAUACGGAGGAUCCAAGCGUUAUCCGGAAUCAUUGGGUUUAAAGGGUCCGUAGGCGGUUUAAUAAGUCAGUGGUGAAAGCCCAUCGCUCAACGAUGGAACGGCCAUUGAUACUGUUAGACUUGAAUUACAAGGAAGUAACUAGAAUAUGUAGUGUAGCGGUGAAAUGCUUAGAUAUUACAUGGAAUACCAAUUGCGAAGGCAGGUUACUACUUGUGGAUUGACGCUGAUGGACGAAAGCGUGGGGAGCGAACAGGAUUAGAAACCCGUGUAGUCC